AACGAACGCUGGCGGCAUGCCUAACACAUGCAAGUCGAACGAGAUCUUCGGAUCUAGUGGCGCACGGGUGCGUAACGCGUGGGAAUCUGCCCUUUGGUUCGGAAUAACAGUUGGAAACGACUGCUAAUACCGGAUGAUGACGAAAGCCCAAAGAUUUAUCGCCAGAGGAUGAGCCCGCGUAGGAUUAGCUAGUUGGUGUGGUAAAGGCGCACCAAGGCGACGAUCCUUAGCUGGUCUGAGAGGAUGGUCAGCCACACUGGGACUGAGACACGGCCCAGACUCCUACGGGAGGCAGCAGUGGGGAAUAUUGGACAAUGGGCGAAAGCCUGAUCCAGCAAUGCCGCGUGAGCGAUGAAGGCCUUAGGGUUGUAAAGCUCUUUUACCCGGGAUGAUAAUGACAGUACCGGGAGAAUAAGCUCCGGCUAACUCCGGGCCAGCCGCCGCGGUAA
This 449-nucleotide ribosomal RNA is filed under the name uncultured bacterium. Its description in RNAcentral is "partial 16S ribosomal RNA". It matches the Rfam family "Bacterial small subunit ribosomal RNA", at positions 29 to 523 of the family's 1533-position model. The record is from RNAcentral.